This 1352-nucleotide unclassified non-coding RNA is filed under the name uncultured Neocallimastigales. Its description in RNAcentral is "partial contains internal transcribed spacer 1, 5.8S ribosomal RNA, internal transcribed spacer 2, and large subunit ribosomal RNA". The stretch from base 597 to 1352 matches the Rfam family "Eukaryotic large subunit ribosomal RNA", at positions 1 to 617 of the family's 3401-position model. The record is from RNAcentral. Lineage: Eukaryota; Fungi; Neocallimastigomycota; Neocallimastigomycetes; Neocallimastigales.
AAAAUAAUCCUACCCUUUGUGAAUUUUGUUUGUUUGAAUAAUUUUUUUUUUUAAAAAAUUAUUGGAGUCUUUCCCUUUAGAGUUUGCUUUUGAGUUUGUAAAAGAAUUCGAAAACAUCUAAAGGGGAUGGUCAAUAAUUUUUUUGAAAAAAGACAUUUUUUAAAAUUAAACUUUUUGUAUUCAUUUGUCUAAAAAUUAUUUUUAUAAUAUAAAAACAACUUUUGACAAUGGAUCUCUUGGUUCUCGCAACGAUGAAGAACGCAGCAAAAUGCGAUAAGUAGUGUGAAUUGCAGAAUACGUGGAUCAUCGAAUCUUUGAACGCAUAUUGCACUUUUUUAGUUUACUAAAAAAGUAUGUCUGUUUGAGUAUCAGUAAAAUAUUCUCAUAAAAAUCAUUGUGUAUUUUUAUGGUUAUGAGUGUUUUACAACGAUACAAGUUGUUUCACUUUAAAUUUUUUUUUUAAUAUUGAAAUUUUUCUAAUUUUAAUAAUUGAAAAUUGGAUAAAAUUUUCCCGUCAAAGGAAUAACCUAAACAAUUUUAAACGAUUAAUUUUAGCAAAAUUUUCGUAAAAAAGGAAAAUUUUUAUUAAAAUAACUUGAUCUCAAAUCAGAUAAGAGUACCCGCUGAACUUAAGCAUAUCAAUAAGCGGAGGAAAAGAAACUAACAAGGAUUCCCUUAGUAACGGCGAGUGAAGCGGGAAGAGCUCAAAUUUGAAAUCUUCAAGGUUUUACCUUGACGAAUUGUAGUUUAAAGAAGUGUUUUCUGCUGAAGUUUUGGUAAAAGUUCUUUGGAAUAGGACAUCAUAGAGGGUGAGAAUCCCGUAUUUGACCAUUAUUUUCAGCUUUGUGAUACACUUUCAAAGAGUCGGAUUGUUUGGGAAUGCAGUCCAAAAUGGGGUGGUAAAUUUCAUCUAAAGCUAAAUAUUGGCGAGAGACCGAUAGCGACAAGUACCGUGAGGGAAAGAUGAAAAGAACUUUGAAAAGAGAGUUAAACAGUACGUGAAAUUGUCAAAAGGGAAGCGUUGACACCAGUGUUGUUUUCUCGAAAAUCAAUUAAAAAUGGCUCGAUUUUGUAUUGCUGAGACCUUAAAAGCUCACUAUACAUUUUUCGUGUCUUUUUUAAUGCACUUUUCGUUUAACAAGUCAACAUCAGUUUCUUUUGUUGUAAAAGGGUCAUUGGAAGGUGGCUUUCUUUUCGGAGAAAGUGUUUAUAGCCUUUGGCCUCUGCAAUCGAGAGACUGAGGUCUGCAGCGUAGACUCUUCGGGGUUAGAUACUUUUGUGCUAAGUUAUAGCUUUUUAUAGACAACUUGUUGACUAUAAUUAGUCUUGUAGCUUACUCGCUUAUGCUAUUU